This 519-nucleotide ribosomal RNA is filed under the name uncultured Bacteroidota bacterium. Its description in RNAcentral is "bacterial SSU rRNA". It matches the Rfam family "Bacterial small subunit ribosomal RNA", at positions 8 to 522 of the family's 1533-position model. Lineage: Bacteria; Pseudomonadati; Bacteroidota. The record is from RNAcentral.
AGAGUUUGAUCAUGGCUCAGGAUGAACGCUAGCGGCAGGCCUAAUACAUGCAAGUCGAACGGUAACAGGGAUAGCAAUAUCCGCUGACGAGUGGCGCACGGGUGCGUAACACGUAUGCAACCUACCUAUUACAGUGGGAUAGCCCGGAGAAAUUCGGAUUAAUACCGCAUGAUAAUAUUGAAAGGCAUCUUUUAAUAUUUAAAAUUUUCAAUGGUAAUAGAAGGGCAUGCGGCUGAUUAGCUAGUUGGUAGUGUAAUGGACUACCAAGGCAACGAUCAGUAGGGGUUCUGAGAGGAAGGUCCCCCACACUGGUACUGAGAUACGGACCAGACUCCUACGGGAGGCAGCAGUAGGGAAUAUUGGGCAAUGGGCGAGAGCCUGACCCAGCCAUGCCGCGUGCAGGAUGAAGGCCUUCUGGGUUGUAAACUGCUUUUGAUCGGGAACAAAGAGGCCAUGCGUGGCAAGUUGAGUGUACCGAUAGAAUAAGCACCGGCUAACUCCGUGCCAGCAGCCGCGGUA